UACGUAGGGUGCAGGCGUUAAUCGGAAUUACUGGGCGUAAAGCGUGCGCAGGCGGUCUUUUAAGUCAGAUGUGAAAUCCCCGGGCUUAACCUGGGAACUGCGUUUGAAACUGAAAGGCUUGAGUGUGGCAGAGGGGGGCGGAAUUCCAGGUGUAGCAGUGAAAUGCGUAGAUAUGCGGAGGAACACCGAUGGCGAAGGCAAUCCCCUGGGCCUGCACUGACGCUCAUGCACGAAAGCGUGGGGAGCAAACAGG
This 253-nucleotide ribosomal RNA is filed under the name uncultured bacterium. Its description in RNAcentral is "partial 16S ribosomal RNA". It matches the Rfam family "Bacterial small subunit ribosomal RNA", at positions 524 to 776 of the family's 1533-position model. The record is from RNAcentral.